AUUGAACGCUGGCGGCAGGCCUAACACAUGCAAGUCGAGCGGAUGAAGGGAGCUUGCUCCUGGAUUCAGCGGCGGACGGGUGAGUAAUGCCUAGGAAUCUGCCUGGUAGUGGGGGAUAACGUCCGGAAACGGGCGCUAAUACCGCAUACGUCCUGAGGGAGAAAGUGGGGGAUCUUCGGACCUCACGCUAUCAGAUGAGCCUAGGUCGGAUUAGCUAGUUGGUGGGGUAAAGGCCUACCAAGGCGACGAUCCGUAACUGGUCUGAGAGGAUGAUCAGUCACACUGGAACUGAGACACGGUCCAGACUCCUACGGGAGGCAGCAGUGGGGAAUAUUGGACAAUGGGCGAAAGCCUGAUCCAGCCAUGCCGCGUGUGUGAAGAAGGUCUUCGGAUUGUAAAGCACUUUAAGUCGGGAGGAAGGGCAGUAAGUUAAUACCGUGCUGUUUUGACGUGACCAACAGAAUAAGCACCGGCUAACUUCG
This 482-nucleotide ribosomal RNA is filed under the name uncultured bacterium. RNAcentral's name for it is "partial 16S ribosomal RNA". It matches the Rfam family "Bacterial small subunit ribosomal RNA", at positions 30 to 505 of the family's 1533-position model. The record is from RNAcentral.